RNAcentral lists this non-coding RNA (94 nucleotides) under Pseudomonas orientalis. The record is from RNAcentral. Lineage: Bacteria; Pseudomonadati; Pseudomonadota; Gammaproteobacteria; Pseudomonadales; Pseudomonadaceae.
CUCAAUGGUAGCUGUGCGUGGGAGACCUUCGGGUCUGCCGGUCUUUGUCCGUUCUUAAUGCCGGUUCGCCAACCUGCGUACAGUUGCCACCUUU